This 437-nucleotide ribosomal RNA is filed under the name uncultured bacterium. Its description in RNAcentral is "partial 16S ribosomal RNA". It matches the Rfam family "Bacterial small subunit ribosomal RNA", at positions 29 to 507 of the family's 1533-position model. The record is from RNAcentral.
AGCGAACGCUGGCGGCAGGCUUAACACAUGCAAGUCGAGCGGGCAUCCUUGUGGUGUCAGCGGCAGACGGGUGAGUAACGCGUGGGAACGUGCCCUUCGGUUCGGAAUAACUCAGGGAAACUUGAGCUAAUACCGGAUACGUGCGAGAGCAGAAAGGUUUAUCUGCCGAAGGAUCGGCCCGCGUCUGAUUAGCUAGUUGGUGAGGUUACGGCUCACCAAGGCGACGAUCAGUAGCUGGUCUGAGAGGAUGAUCAGCCACACUGGGACUGAGACACGGCCCAGACUCCUACGGGAGGCAGCAGUGGGGAAUAUUGGACAUUGGGGGCAACCCUGAUCCAGCCAUGCCGCGUGAGUGAUGACGGCCUUAGGGUUGUAAAGCUCUUUUCUCCGGGACGAUAAUGACGGUACCGGAGGAAUAAGCCCCGGCUAACUUCGUG